This 214-nucleotide non-coding RNA is filed under the name Oryzias latipes (Japanese medaka). RNAcentral describes it as "Eukaryotic large subunit ribosomal RNA". It matches the Rfam family "Eukaryotic large subunit ribosomal RNA", at positions 2140 to 2327 of the family's 3401-position model. Lineage: Eukaryota; Metazoa; Chordata; Actinopteri; Beloniformes; Adrianichthyidae. The record is from Rfam by way of RNAcentral.
GGUUAAUUAUAACGAAGCAUCGCGAGGGCCCAUGGCAGGUAUGGACCAUGGUGUUGACGCGAUGUGAUUUCUGUCCAGGACUCUGAAUGUCAAAGUGAAGAAAUUCAAUGAAGCACAGGUUGACGUGUUCUUUGGGUGGUUUACUCGUACUUCACCCAUGACUUUAAUGUGGUUCAAUCCUGAUACAUCUGUGGAAAUGUCACAGAUGAAUCAA